UGUUUCGGCUAGGGGGCCAUCCCGGCUUACCAACCCGAUGCAAACUGCGAAUACCGGAGAAUGUUAUCACGGGAGACACACGGCGGGUGCUAACGUCCGUCGUGAAGAGGGAAACAACCCAGACCGCCAGCUAAGGUCCCAAAGUCAUGGUUAAGUGGGAAACGAUGUGGGAAGGCCCAGACAGCCAGGAUGUUGGCUUAGAAGCAGCCAUCAUUUAAAGAAAGCGUAAUAGCUCACUGGUCGAGUCGGCCUGCGCGGAAGAUGUAACGGGGCUAAACCAUGCACCGAAGCUGCGGCAGCGACGCUGAUGCGUUGUUGGGUAGGGGAGCGUUCUGUAAGCCUGCGAAGGUGGCCUGUGAGGGUUGCUGGAGGUAUCAGAAGUGCGAAUGCUGACAUAAGUAACGAUAAAGCGGGUGAAAAGCCCGCUCGCCGGAAGACCAAGGGUUCCUGUCCAACGUUAAUCGGGGCAGGGUGAGUCGACCCCUAAGGCGAGGCCGAAAGGCGUAGUCGAUGGGAAACGGGUUAAUAUUCCCGUACUUGGUGUUACUGCGAAGGGGGGACGGAGAAGGCUAUGUUGGCCGGGCGACGGUUGUCCCGGUUUAAGCGUGUAGGCUGGUUUUCCAGGCAAAUCCGGAAAAUCAAGGCUGAGGCGUAACGACGAGGCACUACGGUGCUGAAGCAACAAAUGCCCUGCUUCCAGGAAAAGCCUCUAAGCAUCAGGUAACAUCAAAUCGUACCCCAAACCGACACAGGUGGUCAGGUAGAGAAUACCAAGGCGCUUGAGAGAACUCGGGUGAAGGAACUAGGCAAAAUGGUGCCGUAACUUCGGGAGAAGGCACGCUGACACGUAGGUGAAGUGAUUUACUCAUGGAGCUGAAGUCAGUCGAAGAUACCAGCUGGCUGCAACUGUUUAUUAAAAACACAGCACUGUGCAAACACGAAAGUGGACGUAUACGGUGUGACGCCUGCCCGGUGCCGGAAGGUUAAUUGAUGGGGUCAGCGCAAGCGAAGCUCCUGAUCGAAGCCCCGGUAAACGGCGGCCGUAACUAUAACGGUCCUAAGGUAGCGAAAUUCCUUGUCGGGUAAGUUCCGACCUGCACGAAUGGCGUAAUGAUGGCCAGGCUGUCUCCACCCGAGACUCAGUGAAAUUGAACUCGCUGUGAAGAUGCAGUGUACCCGCGGCAAGACGGAAAGACCCCGUGAACCUUUACUAUAGCUUGACACUGAACAUUGAGCCUUGAUGUGUAGGAUAGGUGGGAGGCUUUGAAGUGUGGACGCCAGUCUGCAUGGAGCCGACCUUGAAAUACCACCCUUUAAUGUUUGAUGUUCUAACGUGGACCCGUGAUCCGGGUUGCGGACAGUGUCUGGUGGGUAGUUUGACUGGGGCGGUCUCCUCCUAAAGAGUAACGGAGGAGCACGAAGGUUGGCUAAUCCUGGUCGGACAUCAGGAGGUUAGUGCAAUGGCAUAAGCCAGCUUGACUGCGAGCGUGACGGCGCGAGCAGGUGCGAAAGCAGGUCAUAGUGAUCCGGUGGUUCUGAAUGGAAGGGCCAUCGCUCAACGGAUAAAAGGUACUCCGGGGAUAACAGGCUGAUACCGCCCAAGAGUUCAUAUCGACGGCGGUGUUUGGCACCUCGAUGUCGGCUCAUCACAUCCUGGGGCUGAAGUAGGUCCCAAGGGUAUGGCUGUUCGCCAUUUAAAGUGGUACGCGAGCUGGGUUUAGAACGUCGUGAGACAGUUCGGUCCCUAUCUGCCGUGGGCGCUGGAGAACUGAGGGGGGCUGCUCCUAGUACGAGAGGACCGGAGUGGACGCAUCACUGGUGUUCGGGUUGUCAUGCCAAUG
This 1841-nucleotide ribosomal RNA is filed under the name Salmonella enterica subsp. enterica serovar Montevideo. RNAcentral's name for it is "partial 23S ribosomal RNA". It matches the Rfam family "Bacterial large subunit ribosomal RNA", at positions 911 to 2734 of the family's 2925-position model. The record is from RNAcentral. Lineage: Bacteria; Pseudomonadati; Pseudomonadota; Gammaproteobacteria; Enterobacterales; Enterobacteriaceae.